ACGCUCGACACCUACGGGGGCAGCAGUGGGGGAUAUUGCACAAUGGGGGAAACCCUGAUGCAGCGACGCCGCGUGAAGGAAGAAGGCCUUGGUUGUAACUUCUGUCGUACGGGACGAUAAUGACGGUACCGUACAAGAAAGCCACGGCUAACUACGUGCCAGCAGCCGCGGUAAUCUGAGCGGGCUGGCAAGGC
Molecule: ribosomal RNA, 194 nt
Filed under: uncultured bacterium
Lineage: Bacteria
Description: partial 16S ribosomal RNA
Rfam family: Bacterial small subunit ribosomal RNA
Source: RNAcentral